Molecule: non-coding RNA, 642 nt
Organism: Pelobates cultripes (western spadefoot toad)
Lineage: Eukaryota; Metazoa; Chordata; Amphibia; Anura; Pelobatidae
Source: the annotation of a GenBank genome assembly
CAGUCAUAAUGCCUUUUGCCUGCUUGGGCGUAAGUAGUGACCCUAGCAGCCUUCUCACCAGAUGCGGGAGUUCUGCGUCUGGGAUCGCCUCUGGGACACCCCGUAUCUUGAGAUUCUUUCGGCGCCUGCCAUCUUCCAUCACUGCCAAGCGUUGUUCCAAGGUGGCUUGCUGUGCCCUGAGGGUCCCUAUUUCCCCCGAGAGAGUGGUGAUUGUCUGGGCUUGUUCGGCUGCUGUCGUCUCCACUGUCCCCAAGCGGCCCACCAUGCCCGUUAGAUCUGCCCUGAGUGAGGCCAUGUCGGCUUGCAAAGUGAGCUGGAGGCUGUGUAGUAGCUCCUUCAGAGUGGCAUUUGUCACCGGAGCCGAGUCAGCAUUCUUUGGAGCUGUCUGGGGCUGUGGUGUGAGGGGAACCCUAGCGGAUCCCAUCCCCAGUAUUGAGUCCUCUGAGGAGUCUGAGGCUGAGUACUCGUCCAUAUCGGCGGCCAUCUUGGGCCUACCCACUCCGUGGGCCUGCCGGAGCAGAUCCCCUAUGUUCAUGCCCGCUUUGGGCUUGUCGGGCUUUUGUUUUUUCAUCUUGCGGCCCAUGACCACUAGUAGCACCUGUGGUCCGGUUUGCCGGCGGUGGUAAGGGGUUUGAAAUCGCC